RNAcentral lists this ribosomal RNA (119 nucleotides) under Prototheca stagnorum. The record is from RNAcentral. Lineage: Eukaryota; Viridiplantae; Chlorophyta; Trebouxiophyceae; Chlorellales; Chlorellaceae.
UAGUGUUCUAGUCUAGGUCGAUAACCACCUUAAACCAUCUCGAAUUAAGAAGUGAAAGGCUUAGAAGGUGAAAAUACUUAAAGGGGGGCCUUUUGGGAAAAUAACUUAAUGCUAGCAUU